AGUGUGUUGAAUACUCACAGCCACGUCUGGACUGGACCUGCCCUUUCGUGCUGCCAUAGUCCGGCACUUCGGCUGAAACCUGAGCCUGGUGUCCCCUCUCUCCCUCCUUGGUUAUCUACUCCACAGCUUUGAGAGAGCCAACAGGAUAUUUAAUACCAAGCCAUCUCCGGAAAGCAAAUGACUGCUGCCAAGUGCAGGGAGGGGGUCAGAGCUGCAGGUACCACCUCACGAACAGCAGAGGAAAAGCAGCCCCACAGAUACGCCCAGGAGCCUGGCAACUCACAGGUGGCUGCUAAAUCCUAUACACAGGCAUCAUGCUCUACAGACUUGCAGACAUCCAAGCUGUGAAGUGUCAGGAGGCUGCUGCCAGCAAUUCUGCAGGAGAGAAGCCUCAGAUCUGGACUUCGUUAAGUGCUUCAAGACCUUCUAAAGUCAAAAAACAUAGCACAGCACAUCAGGCUGUGCUUUUACUCCCCUUUCUUUUCCUUCAGGAAAAUAAAAUCUCCCCUUGUCUGCUGACAAUCUAUAUUUUUCCCUUUUCCUCUUUCCUGGUUUCAGAAUAAUUUUUUUCUCAUUACACCCUCUCCUGGCCCUGAGUAGAGGGUUCUUCUGUUCUUUUUCCUAGGUGUCCUGCUCUCAAAGCAUUAAUGCCAUUAGCCUGGAACCACAUGAGCAUAUUGCACUGUAGCCAUGGCCAAGGCAAUAAGCAAAGGGGAAGUCAAACCAGAGGCUCAGGCUGGAUCUCAAGGGCUGCAGUCAGAGGUUCAUAAGCCUGCUGUGUCUCUGGCUGCAGUCAGUGUCCUGCUCUAAUCUCUUCUGACAGUGCCUGCUCCCGCCCACACCCAGGGAGGAGCUCUCACCAGCUCCUGCUGCUCAUCACUGAUAAAAAAAGGGAGGGUAUCAGCAUUGCCUCCUCCUGUUAAAGGUAGCCACACUUAGCAGGAGCCCACUCUGUAUGAGCUGGUACAUGCUAUAAAUAGAUGAUUUCCAAGUACAAAUGAGUUCAGGGACUCGUGUUGGAUCUCACAGUGUUUUCUGGGACACAAAGACAGUCAAGAAGCAACUCACCACUCUAUUCCAGCCCGGCACACACGCCUCCUGCUGCAUUUCCCUCCUUACCCUGUCUGCCCACUUGUCUCUUCAGCCAAGCUGACACAGACUCGUGGAGCAGCACACAGGAGGUCCAGCAAGGAAACACCUGAAGGCUGGACAGCAACAGUCACUCCAAGAGCCAAAGAACCCCAGGAUUGGCAGUGAGAUGCAAACCCAAAUCCUGGCACCAAGCCAUAUACUGCCAUGGGCAUCCUGUCUAGAUACUCUGGAAAGGUCCAACUCACACCUCAGAGGUCAUUCAGUUACUUCCAGCUAUUACUGCCAGUGUCCUGGAACCUGAAGUCAGCUCUGGCAGCUGAGGACACAUGAUAAACCCUCGCCAAGGGCAAUAGCCAUUUUGCCAUUUGCUUGGACAUUUCCUUGCUCAUCUGGGCUUGUGUCAAACAGUGGGCAUGAUCCUCACCUUUGAGGCAUUAUUUCCAGCAGAAACACCACAACCUCACAUCAGUGUAGUGGUUGACCUUUAAGUAACUGUCCAACCUAGGAAUGUCUCUGGAGCCAAUGCUCAUUUGGACCUCUCUGCCUUGCAGAUAUCAAGUACACAGUUUUGCAGCUGAUAACCUCAAUCCUUUCUCAUCAGAUGAGAAGAAUUUGUCAGUCUUCAAAACACACUAAAAGAGCUGAUAAG
Molecule: long non-coding RNA, 1741 nt
Organism: Poecile atricapillus (Black-capped chickadee)
Lineage: Eukaryota; Metazoa; Chordata; Aves; Passeriformes; Paridae
Exons: 3
Source: RefSeq, a predicted model, not a curated record